RNAcentral lists this ribosomal RNA (253 nucleotides) under uncultured bacterium. Its description in RNAcentral is "partial 16S ribosomal RNA". It matches the Rfam family "Bacterial small subunit ribosomal RNA", at positions 524 to 776 of the family's 1533-position model. The record is from RNAcentral.
UACAGAGGUCUCAAGCGUUGUUCGGAUUCAUUGGGCGUAAAGGGUGCGUAGGCGGCGCGGUAAGUCGGGUGUGAAAUCUUGGAGCUUAACUCCGAAACUGCAUUCGAUACUGCAGUGCUUGAGGACUGGAGAGGAGACUGGAAUUUACGGUGUAGCGGUGAAAUGCGUAGAUAUCGUAAGGAAGACCAGUGGCGAAGGCGGCAUCCUGGACCAAUAUUGACGCUGAGGAGCGAAAGCCAGGGGAGCAAACGGG